CAUAUAAUUUGAAUUUUAUAUAUAAAUUAAUUAAAAUUCUCACUAUUAUAUAUAUAUAUAUAUAUAGACCGGCUGGAAUACUAUCAAUAUCACCAAACAUUUGAUGCUAUCGAGUUUUCCGCUAUCAAAUUUAACCCUUUGAUUAUUUUUAUCAGAUUAUAUUAUUGAAUUAAUAACUCACUUUCUAGUAGGCCCACAUUAUUCUAAGUGUAUAUUUUUUUUAUUCAAUGACUGAAAAUUUAAUAGUAAUAAAAGCUUGAUGUUAUUUAUAGUAUUCCAACCUAGUUAUAUAUAUAUAUAUAUAUAUAAAAGAAGGGUU
This 319-nucleotide long non-coding RNA is filed under the name Ananas comosus (pineapple). Its description in RNAcentral is "long non-coding RNA (ACOM_LNC038630)". Lineage: Eukaryota; Viridiplantae; Streptophyta; Magnoliopsida; Poales; Bromeliaceae. The record is from RNAcentral.